RNAcentral lists this long non-coding RNA (876 nucleotides) under Populus trichocarpa (black cottonwood). RNAcentral describes it as "long non-coding RNA (PTRI_LNC004141)". Lineage: Eukaryota; Viridiplantae; Streptophyta; Magnoliopsida; Malpighiales; Salicaceae. The record is from RNAcentral.
GCAGCAAGUCAAAGACAAGGUAAUCGCAACUUCGCACCUUCUGUGGUUGCUGUUUUCCUGGAAAUCAUAUCUAUCUUUUGGGUGGUGGUACGCGGAAAUCAACUCCUCUUCUACGCUUUUCAUAAAGGAUCAAAAGGAAAUUUCUUGAUUGUUGGCAUGAGGUGUAAAAUGAAUACAAUCCAUCGCUACCAUUUUUUUAUUUCUCAUAUGAAUUUCGCAAAUCAUUUUUUUUAUGGAACUUUAUACUCAUAUCUUUUGAGUGCGCAUCAGAUAAAUCUCUAACUAAUUUUGAGUAAAUUGCAAUAGAUUCGAGUAUCUUCAUGUUCUUAUUCAGAUUACAAUUUUCUAAUAUAGAUAACAUCAGCACAGAAGCAAAGCAAAACAACCUUGGAGUUGGAAAAACUCAUGUAUCAGGAUGCUAUACACGGACAAGGAUUAAAACAUUGGUGUGCAAGCAGAGCAGCAGUAGCAAUCACAAAUCAGAAGCGUCAAUACGGUGGAGGCGGCGGUGCCCGAGGAGAAGGACGGAUGGAAUGAAGAGGAGGAUUGACCCUGGGAGGUGGUGGCGAUGGUAUUGACCUUCUCAAUACCCCCACCUUGUAGUUAGGAAAAUCAUUUGAAGAAAUUGCAUCAGAAGAAGACCAUUCAAAAGCCUUGCAGAUGUAGCUACUAUGAGAUGAUAAUAGCAGAACAUGGAUCAAGAAGAAACAAAGUAAAGAUGAAAUGGCACCCAUCGUUGGUUGUUGUUGGAACACUAGUAAGAUGUGCCCAUUUAUAUUAGUAACCCGGUUUAUGAAGACUUUCCAUACAGAUUAGCUUGGUUUAUGUGCUGGUAGCCUUCCAGCUAUGCUAGUUUGGUUUCUAUUUUUCUUUUGC